UAUUCUUUUGAUUUUUAAAAAAUCAUUUAAAUAUGUAAAAACUUCUAUUUUUUAGUCCUGGAGAGGUGUAGAAACAACUUAUGAGCCAUAUUGCUGAGCCCUACAUUAGAGGUACUUGAGGGGAGUGACACAAUUGGUAAUGAAUAACCAUAUACUCUAUCCUUCAAUAUGGAACACUUUUGGAAGUAAAGUGGGGCAUUAAUAAUUAUAGCCAGAGAACAGGAGUUAAAUCAGUUUAUCCCAGGCAAACCUAAAGGAAUAAUCACCUUAAGGUUAAGGGUUAGGAGAAGUCAAAAUUGCUUUAGGGCUUAGUAACAGAAAAUGGGAGGUGCCAGUGAAGGAAAUAGGAAGAUAAAGAAGAAACUGGUUUUGAGGAGAAGAUAGCUAUAGCAGUCCCAAGAGCCAUAUACAGUUGGAACAACAUUGAUAGGAAAGAAGAAAGCAUCCCAGAAGCAGGCCACUCCUUAUAUCUUAUUGACCAGAACUGGGCUAUUAGCUGUCCCUAAAGCAGUAACAGACAAGGAGCAUGGGACAUCCAUGAUUGCCUAGUGUUUAUCUGACUUUUCUAGUUCUUAUUCAGGACUGUGUUGAGCAUUGCUGGACAUUUACCAUCUCUGAUUCCUUCCAACUAAAUGUCAGUAGCACACCUCAGGCAUUGUGACACUAUAAAGCAACCCUUCUCCGUUCCCACCCCCCAGAGGUGUGCUACUGGUUGAGAACCACUAGCUUAGAACCUCAGGAUUUACUUUGGGGCUGAAUUAUGUGUGUGUAGGUUUCUUUUCCAAUUGGUUUGGAGGGAAGAGAGGAAUUGGACAGUAUUAAAGUUCUGUUGUCAAGGAAGUGAGGUGGGGAAUGUUGGGUAGCUAACCAACAUUGGCUGCCAUGUGAAGUAAAAAGUUUUCCUUUAUACCCUUGAUAAAAUAGUGUCUCGACUUCUUCACACUUGAAGCCUCCCGGAAACCCCAGCUUUUUUGAUUCUCAUUGUAAGCCCCUUGAACUGGACUAAUUGGGAGUUCUUAUUUUCCACUAGUUCCAAGAAAAUGUGGCCAUCUUUAAUCACUACUCCAAUGAUGUUUCAAAUUGUGUGGGCUUCCUUCAGCCAGGGUCUCGGAGACAGGACAAAGUGGAAAAUGGCUCCCUGCUAACCCAUACAUAGGGCCACCAGUGAGUUUACUGACAUGUAAGUUUGGCUCCUGAACAGCCCACCUUCUUCCUCUCCGCUUUUUCUU
Macaca mulatta (Rhesus monkey) is the source of this 1229-nucleotide non-coding RNA. The record is from RefSeq and is a predicted model, not a curated record. NCBI's taxonomy places the organism in Eukaryota, Metazoa, Chordata, Mammalia, Primates, Cercopithecidae.